GAGCUAAUACCGGAUAAUAUUUUGAACCGCAUGGUUCAAAAGUGAAAGACGGUCUUGCUGUCACUUAUAGAUGGAUCCGCGCUGCAUUAGCUAGUUGGUAAGGUAACGGCUUACCAAGGCAACGAUGCAUAGCCGACCUGAGAGGGUGAUCGGCCACACUGGAACUGAGACACGGUCCAGACUCCUACGGGAGGCAGCAGUAGGGAAUCUUCCGCAAUGGGCGAAAGCCUGACGGAGCAACGCCGCGUGAGUGAUGAAGGUCUUCGGAUCGUAAAACUCUGUUAUUAGGGAAGAACAUAUGUGUAAGUAACUGUGCACAUCUUGACGGUACCUAAUCAGAAAGCCACGGCUAACUACGUGCCAGCAGCCGCGGUAAUACGUAGGUGGCAAGCGUUAUCCGGAAUUAUUGGGCGUAAAGCGCGCGUAGGCGGUUUUUUAAGUCUGAUGUGAAAGCCCACGGCUCAACCG
Molecule: ribosomal RNA, 468 nt
Filed under: Staphylococcus aureus
Lineage: Bacteria; Bacillati; Bacillota; Bacilli; Caryophanales; Staphylococcaceae
Description: bacterial SSU rRNA
Rfam family: Bacterial small subunit ribosomal RNA
Source: RNAcentral